Molecule: long non-coding RNA, 314 nt
Organism: Myotis lucifugus (little brown bat)
Lineage: Eukaryota; Metazoa; Chordata; Mammalia; Chiroptera; Vespertilionidae
Exons: 3
Source: RefSeq, a predicted model, not a curated record
CCUGUCCUCCCUGCCACUUGCCCUCAGGAGCUGUCCUACAAGGGACCAGCCCGCUACAGAUGAUUUCCAGAUGCCUCCUGCCUCGACACCUGGUGGCUCUGAUCUCAUGUCGUCUUGGAGCAGAUGAUGCAAACUGGGAUUUGAAUGUGCACUCCCGCUGAGAGCCAGCGGCCCCCACUGGCAUCGUCUGAAAAUGUGAAGACUGGGCGGAGGAAGAGUGAGCCCCAUCCCACAUGACAUUGGUCAUUAUUGGCUUCCAACACCUCAGCGACUGCAGGGGAGCUUUUAUUUCAUCUUUAUGGAAACUGUGGAGG